GACGAACGCUGGCGGCGUGCUUAACACAUGCAAGUCGAACGGAAAGGCCCUGCUUUUGUGGGGUGCUCGAGUGGCGAACGGGUGAGUAACACGUGAGUAACCUGCCCUUGACUUUGGGAUAACUUCAGGAAACUGGGGCUAAUACCGGAUAGGAGCUCCUGCUGCAUGGUGGGGGUUGGAAAGUUUCGGCGGUUGGGGAUGGACUCGCGGCUUAUCAGCUUGUUGGUGGGGUAGUGGCUUACCAAGGCUUUGACGGGUAGCCGGCCUGAGAGGGUGACCGGCCACAUUGGGACUGAGAGACGGCCCAGACUCCUACGGGAGGCAGCAGGGGGGAAUAUUGCACAAUGGGCGGGAGCCUGAGGCAGCAACGUCGGGUGCGGGAUGACGGCCUUCGGGGUGUAAACCGCUUUCGCCUGUGACGAAGCGUGAGUGACGGUAAUGGGUAAAGAAGCACCGGCUAACUACGUG
This 468-nucleotide ribosomal RNA is filed under the name uncultured bacterium. RNAcentral describes it as "partial 16S ribosomal RNA". It matches the Rfam family "Bacterial small subunit ribosomal RNA", at positions 28 to 507 of the family's 1533-position model. The record is from RNAcentral.